Molecule: ribosomal RNA, 445 nt
Filed under: uncultured bacterium
Lineage: Bacteria
Description: bacterial SSU rRNA
Rfam family: Bacterial small subunit ribosomal RNA
Source: RNAcentral
UCCAGACUCCUACGGGAGGCAGCAGUGGGGAAUAUUGCACAAUGGGGGAAACCCUGAUGCAGCGACGCCGCGUGAGUGAAGAAGUAUUUCGGUAUGUAAAGCCCUAUCAGCAGGGAAGAGAAUGACGGUACCUGACUAAGAAGCCCCGGCUAACUACGUGCCAGCAGCCGCGGUAAUACGUAGGGGGCAAGCGUUAUCCGGAUUUACUGGGUGUAAAGGGAGCGUAGACGGUUGUGCAAGUCUGAAGUGAAAGCCCGCGGCUCAACUGCGGAACGGCUUUGGAAACUGUGUAACUGGAGUGCUGGAGAGGUAAGCGGAAUUCCUGGUGUAGCGGUGAAAUGCGUAGAGAUCAGGAGGAAUACCGGCGGCGAAGGCGGCUUACUGGACAGUAACUGACGUUGAGGCUCGAAAGCGUGGGGAGCAAACAGGAUUAGAUACCCCUGUA